ACAGCAGCCGCCACGGGAAUACAGAGGGUGCGAGCGUUAAUCGGAUUUACUGGGCGUAAAGCGUGCGUAGGCGGCUUUUUAAGUCGGAUGUGAAAUCCCUGAGCUUAACUUAGGAAUUGCAUUCGAUACUGGGAAGCUAGAGUAUGGGAGAGGAUGGUAGAAUUCCAGGUGUAGCGGUGAAAUGCGUAGAGAUCUGGAGGAAUACCGAUGGCGAAGGCAGCCAUCUGGCCUAAUACUGACGCCGAGGUACGAAAGCAUGGUGAGCAAACAGGAUUAGAUACCCCUGUAGUCCCUGUCUCUUAUAC
This 305-nucleotide ribosomal RNA is filed under the name uncultured bacterium. RNAcentral describes it as "partial 16S ribosomal RNA". It matches the Rfam family "Bacterial small subunit ribosomal RNA", at positions 508 to 807 of the family's 1533-position model. The record is from RNAcentral.